This 672-nucleotide ribosomal RNA is filed under the name Paenibacillus illinoisensis. RNAcentral describes it as "partial 23S ribosomal RNA". It matches the Rfam family "Bacterial large subunit ribosomal RNA", at positions 2246 to 2925 of the family's 2925-position model. Lineage: Bacteria; Bacillati; Bacillota; Bacilli; Caryophanales; Paenibacillaceae. The record is from RNAcentral.
CGGGGACAGUGUCAGGUGGGCAGUUUGACUGGGGCGGUCGCCUCCUAAAGAGUAACGGAGGCGCCCAAAGGUUCCCUCAGAAUGGUUGGAAAUCAUUCGAAGAGUGCAAAGGCAUAAGGGAGCUUGACUGCGAGACCUACAAGUCGAGCAGGGACGAAAGUCGGGCUUAGUGAUCCGGUGGUACCGCAUGGAAGGGCCAUCGCUCAACGGAUAAAAGCUACCCUGGGGAUAACAGGCUUAUCUCCCCCAAGAGUCCACAUCGACGGGGAGGUUUGGCACCUCGAUGUCGGCUCAUCGCAUCCUGGGGCUGAAGUAGGUCCCAAGGGUUGGGCUGUUCGCCCAUUAAAGCGGUACGCGAGCUGGGUUCAGAACGUCGUGAGACAGUUCGGUCCCUAUCUGUCGUGGGCGUAGGAAAUUUGAGAGGAGCUGUCCUUAGUACGAGAGGACCGGGAUGGACGUACCGCUGGUGUACCAGUUGUUCCGCCAGGAGCACCGCUGGGUAGCUAUGUACGGACGGGAUAAGCGCUGAAAGCAUCUAAGCGUGAAGCCCCCCUCAAGAUGAGAUUUCCCAGUAUGUAAGACCCCUUGAAGACGACGAGGUAGAUAGGCUGGGGGUGGAAGUGCAGUAAUGCAUGGAGCUGACCAGUACUAAUCGGUCGAGGGCUUAUCCAA